GCUGUUGGUGUAGUGGUUACAGCAUUGGAUUGGUAUUCCAAAGAAUGGUGGUUCAAACCCACUCUCGGCA
This is a non-coding RNA of Daphnia pulex (common water flea), 70 nucleotides long. The record is from Rfam. Lineage: Eukaryota; Metazoa; Arthropoda; Branchiopoda; Diplostraca; Daphniidae.